AGUAACGCGUGGGCAACCUGCCUCAUACAGGGGAGUAACAGUUAGAAAUGACUGCUAAUACCGCAUAAGCGCACAGCAUCGCAUGAUGCCGUGUGAAAAACUCCGGUGGUAUGAGAUGGACCCGCGUCUGAUUAGGUAGUUGGUGGGGUAACGGCCUACCAAGCCGACGAUCAGUAGCCGACCUGAGAGGGUGACCGGCCACAUUGGGACUGAGACACGGCCCAA
RNAcentral lists this ribosomal RNA (225 nucleotides) under uncultured bacterium. RNAcentral's name for it is "partial 16S ribosomal RNA". It matches the Rfam family "Bacterial small subunit ribosomal RNA", at positions 109 to 334 of the family's 1533-position model. The record is from RNAcentral.